GUAGGCGAGACAGAAUCGUGGAGGAAGCAGAGGGCACGUAUCAGCAUCCACGGAGUUAUGGGAGACUUGUAGCUGAAGGCCUACCAAGAUAAGUAGAGCAUUUGUGUCUCUGGGUUUCUGAGUUAAUGAUGCCAGCAGUCUCUGAACUAGCCAAAUUGUGGUGGAUUUAUUAUUUACAUUACAACUCCAUUUAAAAAUGAAAACAUAUGCCCACAUGUUCAGUGCUUCACAAAUACACGCUGUAGAAUUUUAUAUCCAGUAACAGAUGCAAUUUCCCUAUCAAAUAUAAUUUCUGUUUGUCUUCUGAACUCUGUAUUGUUGUGGAAAUUCCAGUUUAUCAGCUGCACUGGAGCCGAAUGAAGUGAGUAGUCCAAGACAUGAGCAGAUUUCUGCUGUGCACCUAGUAUUCCUUUCCCUUCCUAUUUAAUGCUAAUAUUGCUUUAUGCUAAAGAUGCAUUUUUUAAUGCUAUACAACUUGAUUCGUGGGGAAAAAGCAACACAAAUAAUUAAAGUUCUCUUUUGGGAACGUGAGUGGGCAGAGAGAAGUCAAGCGAGGGAAUCUUUUUGGUGGAACUUGUUUCACUUUCUUCUCCAGCCUGGUUGACAUUAUAGUGCUGAGAACAAUUGGGAGUUACUGAAGGCCCAGUUUAUCUUGCCGAUUUCUGUAGACUAUGUGUGACUUUGUUCCAAGUGACCCGUAAGAGCAAUGGCACCUGACGGAGCAACUGUGUAAAGCUGGGAGCAAGCCCAUUUUCAGGAGCAAUUUAGAGACUUCUUUUGACAUUUUCCCCCUUUUCUUUUUAAAAUUUAUUGCAGUCUGACAACAGCAAGUACCCAAAUCCUGUUAGGAAAUAAUGCAAUUUCUGAGCUUGGGUUCUGCUCUAACAAAGUUACAGGGUAGAUGUCACCAGCGUGGAGGGGAAGUUAAUCGUGGCAGGCUUGGAAAAAGAUUCAGUGCUGAAGUCUGGUUGUUCCCAUUUUCUCUUAAAGUGGUCUGCAAGUCUCCUCUCCCUUUUCUCAUUUUAAUUUGUUGUCUCAGGUUUGCUAGGCUGUGGAUUCUGGACAAGAGAACAGGAUCUGCUAGAAAAGCAAGGGAAAUACGAUGGAGGUGCUUGGGGCAGUGCUGAUGCUCAGGCAAACGCUCCUACAGCAGAGUGAGCGCACAGGUCCUCCUGUGCCUGGAUCCUUGGUCCAAGUCUCCUCACGCGGCUCAACUUUACGUCUGUGUCAGAAGAACGUCAAGACCAAUUGCCACUUCUUUUUUUUCUCAGAGUCCUCACCCAACAUAAGGCUUCCAAGAUGACAGAGAACAGGAGGUUGCGAUGACUACUGUUGAGACCAUUGUCAAGGGAAAGUCCUUUUCUUUUGAAGACCACUUGGAUGCUGACAUUUGCUGGAAGUGCCUAGAUUACUGCGAAGGCUUGGCUGGGUUUAUGGUUGACAAAACAUCUUUUGGUGACAUCAGAAGGGACCUACUGGUGUCCGCGUGGGCAGAAGAGAGUAGUACUACUGCUUUGAGAUAGCCAGUUGAAAGCCAGCACCUGCUUCGGUCCACAGGAAGGCAAACUAGCUCCCAUCACACAGGCUAAUGCUUUGUUCUUAGUUGAAAUCUAUACCAAGACUGCUGAGCAUCCUGGAUUCUCCAACUGGGCUGCCACAGGCAGAUUCUGGCUCAGCAUCUCAAUAUGGCAGAGAUCUUCUUCACUGCACAUGUACCCACUGGGAGGACUCAAACCUGGUAUUUCAGAACUCAGGAGAAAAAUUCACACUUUGCAUUUCUCACUGUCACAUGGAGGAGACUGUGACAAGGCCAGCUCUAGUGGCACAGGAUCAUAUGUACAAAUGGAUAUUCUUGAUAAACUUAUAGAAGUGAUGGCACAGACCCAAAGUUCCAAGCACUCCUCACUCUACCCUCAGAAGAUGCAAAGAUGAGUCCAUGCUCCAACUGAUCGCAUCUGGAUUCUAGAGUGUUCUUGAGUGUGUGAAGCUUCAAAGGAAGGAUGUUAAUGUGCUUCGAGGCAGAGGUCAGGAUGUACCUGAAGAAAGGCCUCAUACCAAAAGGUGGAUGUGAUAAGAGACCCAUUAACCAGUAGCAGAGGUCACGUGGCUUGUGUAAAGAGGAGACAUCUGGACCACGCAUGCCCAUUUUAUCACUGGACACCUUUGCAGAGAUUAUGGGGAUGAUCCAGUAACACUGCUUUUGGGUGAGUAGCCGAUGUCUUCACUGGGAUCAGGCAGUCUCCUCACAAAACACUCCAAGAGCUGACAGUAUCUCAUUAGUGGGUACAGUGUCAUUGCAGUGGAGUGUCCCAUUUGUGGACAGUGGAAGUCAAAGUGAUUUAUAGAGAGCAGUUGUCAAGUCAUGGCUGAGUGAGGAACCUGCAUAGGAAAACCCCUUGAGAAGCCUCUCCACAAAGCCAGCCGGUGGGUGACAGUGGCUGGCUCCUUGAUUAGAGGCCAUACAGAGUUGUUUCUGAAUCUAGACUUUGGGUCAUUGGGGGCAGGAGGUAGUUCCUUAUUCAUCGUUCUGUUUUGUUCGAGUUGAGAAACGUGUGUAAGUACACUUUAGACUCAACGAGGAACGUGGGCUUCUUUCACUUCCAGUGCCUGUAGAACCUUCGUCAGCAGCACGCUUGUGGGGAACAGGAAGAGUAGGGCUUUCUUUCUUUCAUACUUUAGCCAAUAAUGUUAGAUUUCUAGUUAUUUUAAAGAACGUCUUUUGUAUGCUUGUGAUAGAAUCAAUAAAGUUUUAAAAUUUAAAUU
This 2763-nucleotide long non-coding RNA is filed under the name Mus musculus (house mouse). RNAcentral describes it as "predicted gene 2629". Lineage: Eukaryota; Metazoa; Chordata; Mammalia; Rodentia; Muridae. The record is from RNAcentral.